This 454-nucleotide ribosomal RNA is filed under the name uncultured Curtobacterium sp. RNAcentral describes it as "bacterial SSU rRNA". It matches the Rfam family "Bacterial small subunit ribosomal RNA", at positions 925 to 1382 of the family's 1533-position model. The record is from RNAcentral. Lineage: Bacteria; Bacillati; Actinomycetota; Actinomycetes; Micrococcales; Microbacteriaceae.
ACAAGCGGCGGAGCAUGCGGAUUAAUCGAUGCAACGCGAAGAACCUUACCAAGGCUUGACAUGCACCGGUAACGCCCAGAGAUGGGUGCCCCCUUGUGGUCGGUGUACAGGUGGUGCAUGGUUGUCGUCAGCUCGUGUCGUGAGAUGUUGGGUUAAGUCCCGCAACGAGCGCAACCCUCGUCCUAUGUUGCCAGCGGGUCAUGCCGGGGACUCAUGGGAGACUGCCGGGGUCAACUCGGAGGAAGGUGGGAUGACGUCAAAUCAUCAUGCCCCUUAUGUCUUGGGCUUCACGCAUGCUACAAUGGCCGGUACAAAGGGCUGCGAUACCGCGAGGUGGAGCGAAUCCCAGAAAGCCGGUCUCAGUUCGGAUUGGGGUCUGCAACUCGAGAGCAUGAAGUCGGAAUCGCUAGUAAUCGCGGAUCAGCAUGUCGCGGUGAAUACGUUCCCGGGUCUU